UGGUUCUGGCAUCGAUGAAGAACGCAGCGAAAUGCGAUAAGUAAUGCGAAUUGCAGAAUCCGUGAGUCAUCGAAUCUUUGAACGCAUAUUGCGCCCCUUGGCAUUCCGAAGGGCAUGCCUGUUCGAGCGUCAUUAUCACCCCUCAAGCCUAAGCUUGGUGUUGGGUUUUGGCACGGUUUACCCUUGCCUAGCCUUAAAGAUAGUGACGGCGCCCCAGAGGGAACCGGUACGAGGAGCUUUUUACUAAGCAUGUACACGGUACGACUCUGUGGACGUCGGUCUGAUCACAAUUUUUUUUAUGUGUUGACCUCGGAUCAGGUAGGAAUACCCGCUGA
This 335-nucleotide unclassified non-coding RNA is filed under the name uncultured fungus. RNAcentral's name for it is "partial contains 5.8S ribosomal RNA and internal transcribed spacer 2". The stretch from base 1 to 132 matches the Rfam family "5.8S ribosomal RNA", at positions 22 to 154 of the family's 154-position model. Lineage: Eukaryota; Fungi. The record is from RNAcentral.